CGAAGCCUGACGCAGCCAUGCCGCGUGAAUGAUGAAGGUCUUAGGAUUGUAAAGUUCUUUCGCCCGUGACGAUGAUGACGGUAACGGGAGAAGAAGCCCCGGCUAACUUCGUGCCAGCAGCCGCGGUAAUA
Molecule: ribosomal RNA, 131 nt
Filed under: uncultured bacterium
Lineage: Bacteria
Description: partial 16S ribosomal RNA
Rfam family: Bacterial small subunit ribosomal RNA
Source: RNAcentral